This 450-nucleotide ribosomal RNA is filed under the name uncultured bacterium. RNAcentral describes it as "bacterial SSU rRNA". It matches the Rfam family "Bacterial small subunit ribosomal RNA", at positions 354 to 796 of the family's 1533-position model. The record is from RNAcentral.
GUGGGGAAUCUUCCGCAAUGGACGAAAGUCUGACGGAGCAACGCCGCGUGAGUGAUGAAGGUCUUCGGAUUGUAAAGCUCUGUUAAUCGGGACGAAAGAGCCUAGUGUGAAUAAUGCUAGGAAGUGACGGUACCGGAAUAGAAAGCCACGGCUAACUACGUGCCAGCAGCCGCGGUAAUACGUAGGUGGCAAGCGUUGUCCGGAAUUAUUGGGCGUAAAGCGCGCGCAGGCGGAUCUGCCAGUCUGUCUUAAAAGUUCGGGGCUUAACCCCGUGAUGGGAUGGAAACUACAGAUCUAGAGUAUCGGAGAGGAAAGUGGAAUUCCUAGUGUAGCGGUGAAAUGCGUAGAUAUUAGGAAGAACACCAGUGGCGAAGGCGACUUUCUGGACGAAAACUGACGCUGAGGCGCGAAAGCCAGGGGAGCGAACGGGAUUAGAAACCCGUGUAGUCC